RNAcentral lists this ribosomal RNA (480 nucleotides) under uncultured bacterium. RNAcentral's name for it is "partial 16S ribosomal RNA". It matches the Rfam family "Bacterial small subunit ribosomal RNA", at positions 28 to 507 of the family's 1533-position model. The record is from RNAcentral.
GAUGAACGCUAGCGGCAGGCCUGAUACAUGCAAGUCGAGGGGUAUGGGUUGCUUGCAACCCAGAGACCGGCGCACGGGUGCGUAACGCGUAUGCAAUCUACCUUAAUCAGGGGGAUAGCCCGGAGAAAUCCGGAUUAACACCGCAUAACAUUGAGUUGUGGCAUCACAGUUCAAUCAAAUAUUUAUAGGAUUAAGAUGAGCAUGCGUGACAUUAGUUAGUUGGUGAGGUAACGGCUCACCAAGACCACGAUGUCUAGGGGAUCUGAGAGGAUGACCCCCCACACUGGUACUGAGACACGGACCAGACUCCUACGGGAGGCAGCAGUAAGGAAUAUUGGUCAAUGGGCGCAAGCCUGAACCAGCCAUGCCGCGUGCAGGAAGACGGCCCUAUGGGUUGUAAACUGCUUUUGUACCGGAAUAAACCUUCUCUUGCGAGAGAAGCUGAACGUACGGUAAGAAUAAGGAUCGGCUAACUCCGUG